UGGACACAAUGGUACAGAAGUGCGUCAAGUAGAAAAAAAGAUGGGGCAGCACAGCCAGCUUUGUGCUAUGAAGCUUCAGGAGGCCAGUCAAGGUGUUGACUUAUUCCUUUAGAGGCAUAUGCCCAACCUCUUCAGACUGGGAGCUGGCAAGAGGAGCCACAUCUUACCAACAAGUUAGAAAAGAACGAUCAGGAGAUGGCAAAGUGAUGAAGAAUUGAUGACACAGCCCUGGUGCUGACUACAUUUAAGUAUCCCAGGAUCUACGUACCAUGAUGAUGUACCAGUCAUUGACAACUGUCAACUCAAACAGCGUAACUGUAUGGAGACACAAAGGACAAAACAAGUGCUUUAGCCAGCCUGACCUGUUUCAAAGUCAUUUCAAUGCCUCAGUUUCCCCUAUUACAUGCUUUCUCCCAUUUUCUUCGUAAGACACCUCAUUUCAGUAUAGCCAAAUACUUGAGUGCUGAUGACAGGAGACAGAUUCUGCUCUCAGUUACAAUGCAGUGAAU
This is a long non-coding RNA of Mauremys reevesii (Reeves's turtle), 509 nucleotides long. RefSeq lists it as uncharacterized. NCBI's taxonomy places the organism in Eukaryota, Metazoa, Chordata, Testudines, Geoemydidae. The record is from RefSeq and is a predicted model, not a curated record. The transcript is spliced from 3 exons.